GUGUUCACUUUGGCCGCACAUACACUAAAAUUGGAAUGAUACAGAGAUUAGCAUGACCUUUGCACAAGAAUGACAUAUAAGCUAAUGUAACAGCCUCAGUGCCU
This is a small nuclear RNA of Ochotona curzoniae (black-lipped pika), 104 nucleotides long. Lineage: Eukaryota; Metazoa; Chordata; Mammalia; Lagomorpha; Ochotonidae. The record is from RefSeq and is a predicted model, not a curated record.